Oncorhynchus tshawytscha (Chinook salmon) is the source of this 1587-nucleotide long non-coding RNA. The record is from Ensembl. NCBI's taxonomy places the organism in Eukaryota, Metazoa, Chordata, Actinopteri, Salmoniformes, Salmonidae.
GUCCAGUCGUUGAUCUGCGAUGGAUUUGUUAUUAUAAUGUUUAUACUGGUCACAAUAAACAGUGUGGUAAUCUAUUCAAAAUUGCUAUUUUCAAGAUAAUUCCUAACACAGGCUGAGCUGCCCAACGACGAUAACACACCGGAGAAGAGGGCCACAACAAACUCUGGACAUUCUUAGAGAGAGAAAAAGACAAUGAGCGAGUUACAGAAGGAGAGUUCAUCAUGGGUGUGAUGAGGAUGCGCUUCGCCUCAUUCAGUAUGCUAAUAAGUUCUGCUAGUACAUUUGGUUGCCUCCGGUCUACAUUCCUAGCUUGGUGCCAGACCUGUUUGACCAUAAGACCAUAGGAGUUGACAAUAGGAGUUGGCAAGACAGCACAAACAGAUCUGGGUUCAGGCUCCUACAUUCCACAAUCCCUACCUCUAUCCUCAAUCAUACCGCAGGAAGUAUUUUGUUUUAAUCCCAGUCUAAUGUCAAGAAUUGAUCAGACCUGUGUUCAAAUAGUAAUUUUUCUUCUUCAAAUACUUUAGCUGUGCUUGAUUGUGAAAACAUAAUAUUUGAACCCAGGUCUGAUUCUAAAGUACAUUGUGGACCAGAAAGAGAUUUGAAGGACAUCUAUAAGAAAAUAUGAACAUGUACAUGUCCAAGUCAAUGUAACACUCACUGACUUAUGUUAUGAUGUACAUGAUUUAUUGUGCAAUUGCCACAUACUGAAGUGUAUACUUUAUACUAUACACUGAGUGUACAAACAUUAAGAACAGCUUCCUGAUAUUGAGUUGCACCCUCCUCCCUUUUGCCCUCAGAACAUCCUCAAUUCGUUGGGACUUGACAGGGAUUCUACAAGGUGUCGAAAGCAUUCCAUAGGGAUGCUGGCCCAUGUUGGCUCCAAUGCUUCCCACAGUUGUGUCAAUUUAGCUGGAUGUCCUUUGAUUGGUGGAUGGCACACAUACACAAUCCAUGUCUCAAUUGCCUCAAGGCUUAAAAAUCCUUCUUUAACCUGUCUUCUCCCCUUCAUCUACACUGAUUGAAGUGGAUUUAACAAGUGACAUCAAUAAGGGAUCAUAGCAUUCACCUGGUCAGUCUAUGUCAUGGAAAGAGCAGGUGUUCAUAAUGUUUUGUGCAAUCAGUGUGUACUGUAUACUAGUCUUGCACAAAUUUAGAAGGUUGUCUGUCAGAGGUGUUACAAUGUAACCGAUGGGUUGGACGAUACUCUUCUCGUCAAUUAUCUUGAAUAAACAUAUACUUAAACUGGAAAUCAACCAAUCCUCCAUCUUUAAGAAACUGCAAAAUCAUAUUCUUGAUUUUUUAAAUAUUGAGCAUGGGCGACGGAGAGGAACAAAAUGGUGCAAUUUGAGGACAUGUGUCGGAGAGUAGUGCAGGCACUGGAGAUAGGAGUGAGAACAGAUGUUGUUGAUGUUUGUGUGCGCCUGUAUGUUGUCUUUUGUGUGUGCAUGUUUUGUGUUGUAUUGUUUGAAGAAAAAAAAUGAAAAAUGAUUAAUAGGUAUAUCAUUUUUGGACUUGAUAUUUAACUUCUGAAUGAUUUGAGAAAGGCUAAAGAGUUUUGAGAGCUGUUACGAGGGGUUUAGGAAA